Molecule: long non-coding RNA, 19314 nt
Filed under: Jatropha curcas
Lineage: Eukaryota; Viridiplantae; Streptophyta; Magnoliopsida; Malpighiales; Euphorbiaceae
Description: long non-coding RNA (JCUR_LNC001006)
Rfam family: tRNA (bases 11368-11439)
Source: RNAcentral
GAGAUUUGAAAAUUGCUUGAUUUCGUAGAUUAUUACAUGAAUACAAAGAUUAGGGUCGUUCUUUCUGUUACAAAACAUAUAUUUAUAAAUAUUUUUUCACAAAUUAUGCAAUAUCAUUGCCAAAUUCUUUGUAUUACAACACAAUACAGAAAACAAAGAGCAAUUAGAUAAGAGCUCCACCCUUCACAUAUUCAGUAAAUGCCAACGCAACCAGACCCAACAUAGCAAAUCUACCAUUCCACAGCUCCGCAUUAGAUGUCAUGAACCCGUCUGACUUCGAUUCCACGCUCACCCCUUUAAAUAGAGGAAUUAAAGACGCGAGAGAGAGCACAAUGCUUGUUCCUACAAACAAUGGAAUCCCACCGUCGGAUAGCUGCGCAAAGAAAUCCUGGCCCUUGGUUUUGGAGGAGAUCCUGAUAAGCAUCAAAAUGGGGAAUUGGAUCAGCAAGUGCGGAUUGAGGUGUAGCGGGCGGUACAAUGUACUCCACCUUAGUGUCCAUAUCAUACUUGACCGUUUUGUAAAUACGUGUAGUAGAGGUGUAUUCAUCUCAUUCUUUCCUGUUUAUAUGCUUGGAACAUUGUAGAGGACUCUCCCAUAUACAAAAAUUAUUGACAACACAAUGUAAUGAAUAAGAGACGAUGUCUUUCCACUUUUCAGGGCAUGGUUACCAUAGAGAAAAGUAGACUUGGAGUGGAAUCACGCAAACGCUUUUUUAUUGACAUUGUUAUCUCCGAAUAUACAACUAAAGAAAAAGGUUGAAAUACAUAAAAUAAAAUAACAGUUUUAUAAUUAUAUCAGAGUUUGAUUAAGCUUUUUAUUAGUAAGUGUUUCAAUUUCGAUUGGAUAAUAUGAUUGAUCUUCUGCAUUACAUUUAAGUUUGAGGUUUAAAAAUACGGAUUAAACUUGAGACAUUUUGUAUCAUAAAAUUUUCCUUACAUCUACUUAACAAGUUUAAAUAAUGAAACUGUUAUGAAUUUUAUAAGUUCGAACUUAAAUAUAAUUAACAAGUUUAAAUAAUGAAAUUUAAUAAAUUUAAAAUUCAAACAUUCGAUUAAAAAUAUACAAGACAGCUAAUUUGAAGUCGGAGAUUUGAAAAUUGCUUGAUUUCGUAGAUUAUUACAUGAAUACAAAGAUUAGGGUCGUUCUUUCUGUUACAAAACAUAUAUUUAUAAAUAUUUUUUCACAAAUUAUGCAAUAUCAUUGCCAAAUUCUUUGUAUUACAACACAAUACAGAAAACAAAGAGCAAUUAGAUAAGAGCUCCACCCUUCACAUAUUCAGUAAAUGCCAACGCAACCAGACCCAACAUAGCAAAUCUACCAUUCCACAGCUCCGCAUUAGAUGUCAUGAACCCGUCUGACUUCGAUUCCACGCUCACCCCUUUAAAUAGAGGAAUUAAAGACGCGAGAGAGAGCACAAUGCUUGUUCCUACAAACAAUGGAAUCCCACCGUCGGAUAGCUGCGCAAAGAAAUCCUGGCCCUUGGCAACCUCCACCGCAAUGGCAGCUACAAAACCAACCAUGGCUAGUCUGCCAUUGAUCCUCUCUGGUGCUGGCCCAGCGAACGCCAACACGUCUGAGAACUUCGUGCUAAACUGUUAAUUUAUCAGGUAUAACCAUUGUUAUUAGCUAUUAUGCUUUUACUAAUUGCAAAUUCAUUUCAAUAAUCUUCCAUUUCACCAAUUAAUCAUGAUAUAGUUUAGGUGUUCAUAUCAGAAUCACUACCUUUGGAGGAGGAGUAGGUUUUGGUUUAGGUGCUCCGACAGGUUCCGUGGGCUGUAUCUUCUCAACCUCUUGCUCCUUUUGAUAUCCCUGCAAAAUCAAACGUAUUAUUAAACCGUAAUUAACCAUCUCAUCUUCUAUUACAAGAAACUUCACUAGAAUCAGAAAGACUAAAAGGCUUACCUCCGCCAUGCACUUCACUGGAGUAUAAGCAACUCUUCCAGGUCGCGGCACGUACGGCGUCGCAAGGAAACGGCCGCUCACUCUGGCUCGAGUAGAAACACGUAGUGCUGGACCAGCAAAGACGGCACCUUGCAUGGCUGUUGCUCCGGCCAUUUUCCACAGCUAACUAUGCUCAACAGAGAUAGAGUAGUCUUUGCGUCGAUUGAUACUCAAAAACACCUCUUGCUUUGCGUUAUUACUCUAUAAGUGAAGCAGAGUAUUUAUAGCCUAGUUAGGCAAUGGGGAAUAGAGGAUAUUUUAGAUACACGUCACUGAAAUGAUCAAUUUCUGGAACGUGAAGUGGUCCAGUUGUCUACAAAAAGUUGGUGACGUGGCUCCUUUAUGAUCCACCAGUUUAUGCCCAAGUCCUAACCCAUUAAGAUUGAGGCCAGUAUUGUUCCAGGUUUUACAGUGUUAGUGCUAGUAGAAACCUGUGGCUGUAGGGCUUUCUAGUCAUUGAUCUCAUGUUAUGCCACGAUUUUACCACAUUAUUUUGACACAUAGCUUUCUGCGUAUCAUUUCUAUUGUUAGUUUGACACAUUCAUUUUCUGUCUUUUGAACACAAAUUUUUAAUUUCAAUGUUUUAAUUCAACACGGAAAGGAAAUUUCAUUAGGAAAUUCAUAUUGGAAAGAGCAUUAAUUAGAAAAAUAAAAUAGACUGGCAACUUCAAAUAGAAGAAAACUAUUCAUUAUUUUCACAAAAUGCACAACUUAAAUUUUAUUAAUAUUACAGAAAACAGUCUCUCUGUUUCUUUAAUUUGGAGUUAUUUUGGUGGGGUAUUAGCAAGGUUAUACGUAUAACUAGAGAACAUCUGGAGUUCUCUCGAACCUCCUACUUCUUCAAUUGGUACAGCAUCACAAAUUUCUUUUAAAUCUUCUUCUGUUAGCUUCACUGUCAAUGACCCAAUGUUGUUUUCAAGAUUCUUCAACUUAGUUGUUCCUGUAAAACAUCAAAAUGAUAGAAUCACCAUCAAAUGCGCAUGAUCUUCAAAAAUAAGUUUCAAGUUGGACACAACAGAAAACUAAUAAAGCCAAAGUCGCAUACCAGGAAUUGGAACUAUGUCUUGUCCCUGGUGGAGAAGCCAUGCCAGAGCUAAUUGAGCUGGAGUGCAGGCAUGCUUUUCAGCUAGGUCCGCGAGACGAGCAUAUAUAGGCUUAUUUCUCUCUAAAUUCUCUCCAGUAAAUCUUGGAUGCAAAGCCUAUGUGACAGAGAUAGAAGAUCAUUUAAAAGAAUUAAUCAAGAGAAAGAACUUGCACGUCAAUGGAUGAAUAAAUUAUAUAUAUCGCAGUACUUGUAAUACCAACCAAUAUACUCUUUUUAGGCAAGCUCUCCACGACUGCCUUUCCAGCAAAGAAUCCUCGACCGAGAGGGCUGUAUGCUACUAUCCCAAUACCAAGCUCUCUGAGAAAGAGAACAACAUUUUAAUCCUUAUUCUCGAUACUCUAAAAAUAUAUGAUGUCAGCCCAAUUGACAUACAUUGAAGAAGAAAAGUUUGUGCUCUGAAAAAAAUAAUUCAGAUCUUACUCAUGCUUAAAUAUGCAAACAUCAAAGUAGAUAUAUAGAUAACUAACCUACAGACUGGAACAAUAUCAUUUUCAAUCUCACGACUCCACAAUGAGUACUCCAUUUCUACAGCAGUUAUGGGAUGAACAGCAUGUGCCCUCCUAAUAGUGUCUACACUAGCUUCAGAUAAACCAACGUACUUUAUCUUUCCCUCCACUACUAACUUCUUCAGCUCCCCCAUCUGCACGCAGAAUUUAAUCAAAAUCUAAAUUCUAAAAUUGAUCAACAUUUAUUAUUAUCAGGGAAGAAAAGGAAUAAUAUACAAGUGUUGCACCAAAUGUAGAGGAAAUCUAAUAUGUAACUCUUACAGUAUCCUCUAUUGGCACUGAUGUGUCAAUCCGAUGCUGAUAGUAUAAAUCAAUAUAAUCCAUGUUUAGCCGCUUUAGACUAGCUUCACAGCAUUGCCUCACAUAUUCUGGAGUACCGUUCACUGCAAAUUCUAGUCCAUUGAACCUUUUAAUGCCAAAUUUUGUUGCUAACUGAAUUUUUUCUCGAGGAAGCUGCUUUAAAGCCUGAAAAUGGGAUAAGAGAGAACUAAUGUAUCAGCAUUCUGAUAUUUAUUUAUCAUAACAUUGAAGCACAGCUUUUUCUAUAAUUUUAUAGCAUCACUUGAUCCAAACACUGCUCACUUCAGCAUAAACGAAUUAUUGCUUUUAUCCCAUUUUUAAUAUAGUAAGUAGUUUCUCUUUUGUAUAAUCUGUUCACACGCACACUGUCAGUUGGAAAUUUGAGGAGCUUCAAUUAUAAAUUUGAAUUAGAAGAAAAAAUAUGUUACCUUCCCAACCAUGAUUUCAUUGUCAUGAUCAUCUCCGUAUAGAUCAGAUGUGUCAAAAAAGGUGAUGCCUUUGGAAAAAACUUCCUUCAUAAAUUCACAUCCAACUUCAUGUGGGAGCGGUGGAUUAUAUAUUCCUGAGAGUCCAGCACACCCGAAACCCAGUACAGAAACCUGCAAUUGAAACAAUUUGAAGAUUUAUUUUUCCAUUUAUAUGCCAGUUUAUUUUGUACUCUGAUUUACUUAAAUUAAAAUAUGAUUUCUGAUACUCAACAAGUAGAAAUAGUGGAGAAAUUAGUAUUGUCGUAAACAGAAUAAUAUGCUAAAAAAUUGACUACGCAAAGAAACUUAUUAAAUAGGUUGCAGAAUCCAAUCACAGAAAAUUCAAACUAAAAUAUGUCAAGUAUGAAACGAAUAAUAGUGAUUCAUGAAAAUCAACUGUUGAUCAGAGGUAGAAAAAGCACCAAGAUUGUUGCUGUCAUAGUUAUAUUUUGCAAAAUAAAGUUAUAUUUUGCAAAAUAAAUAGUAAAUUGCAUGCUUACCUCCAGUCCCUGACUUCCCAGCUUCACUCUUGGGAUUUGGAUCUUCGACUUCUCUUCCAUGGUGAAAAACAUACAAACAGAACUUAGCUGAAGAUGCAAUUACAAGAAAUAAUAAUUUGAGUGUAAAAGUUCCCAUCACUAUAUAAUAUUUAUAAUUAUGUAUUAAAUUUCCCUUCCCACCAACUUUUCAUUUGUUUUCUUAUGGUAGGGACCAUCUGUUACCUCUUACUAAUCAUCAUAUUUUAAUCGCACUCCAGAUUGGAUCGGGAAUGGAGAACUUUGUUUCUAAGGUUCUGAGAGAAAAAAAAUAAUUGAAUGCAUAACUUAAUAUUUAUCUUUCACGUAAUAUUGCUUGCCCAAAUAAUAUUACAAGAAGUCUAAGCAGGAAAGCCACAAGAAUAGAAACACAACACUUCAUUAAAAUACUUACAUGAGAGAGAGAAAAACAAAGGAAGAAGAAGCAACUUUUCUAAAACUAGACAUAAGAUCUAAAUGUAAUUUAUUUUCCAAUCAAGAGAAUUAGAGAAUAAGAAAGCAAUAGAGGUUUCAACUUCCACGUCCAACAGUUACAUUACAACUAAAAUUGGUUUGAUUAUGUUGGCACAACGACUAAUGCAUCAGAAUCAGAGACAUUAAACACUUAGCAUAGACCUCGUGUCUGUUACAUCAUUUACAACCAAGAUAUUCACUGUCUCAUUUAUUAUAAGAAAAGGACAGGAAGGGACACUUCCUUUUAUUUUUUGUUUUUAUCUUUUGCAAGAAGAAUAUACAUGUUCUAUUUUAGUUUUGGUGGAGUGUUUGCGAGCCUCCAGCUAUACUUAGCUAAAAUAGGCACUUCUCUUGAGCCACUAACUUCUUUAGCAUCCACGGCAUCUGAAAUUUCUUUUAUAUCCUCUUUUGUAAGCGUUACUGCCAAGGAACCAAUGUUAUUAUCAAGGUUCUUAACCUUGGUUGUCCCUGCAUAAGUUCCAACAUCAAAAUUAUUGGUCACUAAAAACUUUGAAUCAUGCUUAUAAUAAGUUGCAGCUUUAAAACCAGACCGCUGAAUGGUACGGUUUCUCUUCGCGUGAUGAUUAAAUGAACUGAACAAAAGAAUUCAAUCAAAUGGAUAUGUUCGAAGGUCUCCUAUACCAGGAAUUAGGCAUAUGUCAUCCCCUUGAUGGAGAAGCCAUGCCAGGGCUAACUGAGGAGGGGUGCAGCCAUGCUUUGUAGCCAAUUCAGCGAGUCGGGUGUACAAGAAUUUGUUCUUCUCUAGAUUCUCCUCUUUGAAUCUUGGAUGUGAUAGUCCCUAUUGCAACUUAUUCGUCAGGCACAAAGAAAGACUCAAAAUUUUGUUUCAUACAUAUUGCAACUAGUUUAGGCAAUGCAGAACAUAUUAUGUGUACUCUUAAUGCAUUCAAGAAAAUUUGAUAUAAUAAUAGUAUAAAAAGAUUCACUUGUAAUUUAAUCGUAAUAAUAACUUACCAAGAAACUCCCAUCGGGUAACUUUUCCACAACUGCCUUCCCAGCAAAGAACCCAAUACCAAGAGGACUAUAUGCCACUAUCCCAAUACCAAGUUCUCUGGGAAAGUAGAGGUAAAAAAAUACUGAUCAAUUCCAAGAUUGUGAACAGAAACCUGCAUUGCAAUGAAGUUUUAUAAGUUUCAUUUCAAGAUUCAACAUCUAGAACGUACCGGCAAAGGGGAAUUAUUUCAUCUUCAAUAUCACGAGUCCACAGAGAAUACUCCAUCUGUAAAGCAGAAAUGGGAUGAACCGCAUGAGCUCUCCUUAUUGUGUCUGCAUUUGCCUCUGAUAACCCAAUGUACUUUAUCUUGCCUUCAUCUACUAGCUUCUUAAGCUCUCCCAUCUAUCCCACCAACAAUUGUUCCAAAAACAGAUUCAAACUUAUUCAAAUGCAUAAUAUGUAGAUGGAAAUCAAAUACUUGCAUUAAGAAAUGUGUCAUGAUAGUUACAGUAUCCUCUAUUGGCACUGAAGUAUCAACACGGUGCUGAUAAUACAGAUCAAUAUAGUCGAUAUUGAGUCGUUUGAGACUAGCUUCACAGCAUUUCCGAAUAUAUUCAGGGCUGCCCGUAACGAUGACCUGACCAUCAUCUAACAAAGAAAAUCCAAAUUUUGUUGCCAAUUGAACUUUUUCUCGAGGAAUCUGCUUCAAAGCCUAAAAUUAUAUGCGAAAAUAAAAUAAAUAAGAAAUAUAGACUUUCUUGAGAAAGAAAUUUUCACAUGUUCAUUUCGUUUUGUUUCAUCGCCAUCAAACAAAAGCAUGCUUGUUUACAAUCCCUUCUUACCAAAUUUAUUUGCAACAUAAUCACCGAUUAUAAUUUUGGUGUAUUUAUUAACAACUUAUAAACAGCCAUAAUUUAUGCAAAUAAUUCUUUUAUUCAGAUGAUAGACAGACAGAACAAAAAAGAUUACCUUGCCAAUCAUAAUUUCGUUAUCAUUGUGUCCAUAGACAUCUGCUGUAUCAAAGAAGGUUACUCCCCUAUGAAAGGCCUCCUUUAUGAGAGAACAGCCAUCUUCAUGAGAUAGAGGAGCAUUCAGCAUUCCAGAAAGUCCUCCGCACCCUAGUCCCAGUUUAGAAACCUGCAGGAUCAAGAAGGACGUCGUUAAGAGAGGGUCUUUCUUCAAUUAAACAAUACUAGUUUACGGAAAACAGAUGGAAGUUUGUGUUUCCACAUAACAGCUGGGCAGUUUCUCUUCUUUUUAUACGUAAUUACUCUUCAGAAACCAGAGGUUAUUGACGACAUUCAUCAUAAUUUUUAUAUGUUUGUUGAGCAGAAUCAAGAAUGGCAACUUGAAAGAUCCUUCACUUGCCUCUAGACCAUAGUUCCCAAGUUUCAUUUUUGGUAUUUGGAACUGUUUCUUCUCCAUUUUCAACCCAAAUUUGGAGAUUGGAUCAAGAAAUUCUGCUUCACUUCAUAAAACACGUACAGGAUGAGAAACAAAAUAUGCUAUAAUUAAGGACCUUUUGCAAUUGCUGACCUGAUUUGUUUGCAACUUAUCAUCAGGUUAAAUUACUAUUUGGUCCCUAUAAAUUAAGAGAAAGUUACAGUUUGCUGAACUAAACUAAACGUGCCAUAAAUAACGAAUCAGUCACUAAAAUAAAAUUACGUGGAAUUUCUUGAAAACGAGCGGUAAGAUUGGUGGAAAGAGGGGCCUAAAACGUUGUCGCUGUGGGAAAAGCAGACAUCUUUAGUGGCGCAAAAAACGACGUCGUAUACCAUGAAAAAAGAAACAAAGAAAUGAAGACUGACAAAUUGCAUAUCACGAACGAACUGUGUCCUCUGUGCUAAGCGUCUGUUUUUUGAUCUCUUGAAAAUUCGAAUAAAAGAAGAAAAAACAAUUAAAAAUGGAGAGAAGGCAGAUCUACGCGGUGGCGUUCCUUUUAUUCAGCUUAAUUGGCCGCAUAUCUUCUCUCUCCGUCACCGUAAACGACGUCGAAUGUGUCUACGAGUACGUCCUCUACGAAGGCGACACGGUUUCUGGAAACUUCGUGGUGGUCGAUCACGACAUCUUCUGGAGCUCCGAUCACCCCGGCAUCGAUCUCACGGUAAGUCAGCCGCCUUCCUCUGAAGCUUGUUUUUUAUUCGAAUUCGUGUCCAUUUUCAUUAUCCCGUUGACAUGUAGAUCUAAAUAUUUGGUCUCUUUUUUUCCCUAAUUUGUUGCUUGGUUCCAAUCUUCGGAUUAAUAUGUCGGGCGUUCAAUAUAUGUUACAUUUGAUUGAUUAGGGAUUAUGAUAAUUCGGUCAAACGCAUUCAGAAAGCUGGGUCAAUAAAAUAAUGUCCUCUAAUGCCUGGAAUGCUAGGAAAAGUAUUUUCUCUGUCACUGGAAAGGAUUAGAGUUGGCUUGUAAGCAACAUUCAUUAGUUUUGUGGGAUCAAUUAUUUUGAAGUUGAGGUUGUUUCACAAACUCUAAUUAUAUGUUCUACCCAUGAAUGAACUGUUGAAAAAAGAGAUUUGAGAAACUAAUCAUUAUGUAUUUACCAAAUGACUAUGCUGCAAAUGCAAUUGUGAAUGAAAAAUCAAUUAGUUCAGUACUACUGCCAGUAAAAGAUUUAAUAAGAUGUAACUUUAUGGAAAAGUCAAAAUUAAUGGUGUCCACAAUAUCAUCAUUGGAAAAGGAAGUUAGUUCUAAUUUUUAAUUAAAUGUCUCCAUUAUAUACACCCAUCGUGAAAUCAGCAUGCAUCAUAUUGUAUCCUAAUCAAUACAUGCCCAUAUAACAUACAACUACACUUAACCAUAAUCUCAAACUAGUUAGGUUCGGUUAUAUGAAUCCUUUGUCUCUAUUUUACCUUGUUCGUAGCUAAGUCUGCAUUAACUUCAAGGCCAAUAAAAUGGAUCAUAAAUUUACAUAAUUCAGUAAAAGUAAGAGUUAUAUUUGAAGAAAAAAAUUUGAGUGCCUGCAUGUGUGUUGCGAUUGCAAUUGCAUGGGAGGAAAAGUGAACACUAGAAUGAGAAUCUGAAUCUUUUGGUUGAUUUUGGGUUGGAUGCAAAGUUUUAGUGGGUUCCAUUUAUAAAUGAGUUGGAUACACUUCAAAUCUAAUGAGAUAUUAGUCGUAUAGUGACCCAAACAAAAUUUCGUUAGGAUUCUCACCUUUGUUCACGUUCAUAUUAUAUAGAUGAGUAUGAGAAGCACGCUUAGCAUGUUGGUAGAGGAAUGCUAAAGAACUUUUCGGUAUUAGGUUGAGGUAUGCCAUGCAUCUUUUAGGGUCUGCAACUUGUAAUGUGUUUUGAUCCAUUGGUCUUGCUGUUUAAAUAGUAAUAUUCACUGUUUAUGGAUGUAUACCUGAUACUGGUUUACCUGCAGCAAAUUGUAUUGAUUUGACUUGUUAUUUCUAUAUCUUAAUUCUGGGUCGUCAUGCAGGUGACAUCUCCUGCAGAUAAUGUAGUUCACACUGUGAAGGGGACAUCUGGGGAUAAGUUUGAGUUUAAGGCCCCAAGAAGUGGAAUGUACAAAUUCUGCUUUCACAAUCCGUACUCAACACCAGAGACUGUCUCCUUCUAUAUUCAUGUGGGUCAUAUUCCGAAUGAGCAUGAUCUUGCUAAAGACGGUUUGUUCGCUUCUCUCUCAUUUAGGCACACUCAUCUCUAUGUGCUUUGAGUUGAACUAGUACAAAGAGUAGCAAUAAGCCAUUUGGUUCAAACUACAUAUUUUUCGAUCAUGACAUUUAAGAGAUUUUAUUCUGCUGUGUGUUUGAUUUUUACAAUUGUCUCUAACAGAACACUUGAAUCCCAUUAAUGUUAAAAUUGCUGAGCUGAGAGAGGCAUUGGAAUCUGUUACAGCAGAGCAGAAAUACUUAAAAGCUCGUGAUGCUCGACAUCGCUUGAGUAAGUCCCUUUCUAUCUCUCUAAUUCUUCCUUUCUUUCCAGUAACCCUGUAAUUCAGUAUCUUCUUUCUCUCUCUCUCUCUCUCUCUCUCUCUCUCUAAUUAACCCAUCAUGCACUAUUAUAUCAUGGAAAAGUUCCAACUUCCUUGUGGAUGUAAAAAUCACAAAAUUUGUAUUCUUUUGAAGCAUAUUUCACUGAUAUCAUGUUUGAUAUUUUUCAAAGAAACCUUUUUCUGGGGAUGAGUAACUUUUAAUACAAAUCGGCUAAAAUUUCUUCAUACACAUGUUUUGAUGUUUUAAACACUAUCGAUUUGCCAUAUAUCACUUGUUUGAGUUAUUGUUUGUGUUUCCUCCGCAGCCAAUGAGAGUACACGGAAGCGUGUUAUAGGCUACACAGUGGGAGAAUACAUUUUGUUGGCUCUUAUAAGCGCACUUCAGGUUGUCUAUAUUCGCCGGCUCUUCAGCAAGUCAGUGGCAUACAAUCGGGUCUAAGCCACUUGAUUGUAUGUUAAUUAAGGAUAGGGUGAUUCACUAAUGAGUUCAGUGCAGUUACUGUCAUGCACUUAAGAAAAACUGAUCUGUCUGUUUAUACUGUUCAAUUUUUUUACUUCAACCAUAUGGUAAUUUAGAACAUAAAAGUUUACUGCAACAUUCAUGGGCUUUGAGCUGUUUCUCUUCAUCACUGUCACUCAAGUUUUGUUUUCAGCUUUCUGUUGGGUUUUGCGUAGAAGGAUCUUAAGCCCGACUACAACCUUUUUCAAAUAUGUAGGAGUUCAGAGAAAUCACGUUAAGAUUGGAACGGAAGGCAAAUGAAAGCAUAGGGAAGUAGAUAAUCCAACCUCUGUUUAGAUUGGAUUGGAUUGAAAUUAUAAAAACUAUUUAUUCUUCAAUUAAUAAAUCUCUAAAAUUAUAUUUUCAAACAAUAUUUCAAUCUGAGUUUUCAAAAGAAAUAAUCCUUCACAGUAAAAAGACCAGACUGUUUUCGCAAAAUUCAAGGGUUAUUUAAUUUAUUCUGGACAGAGAAAAGAUAUAAUGCCAAUUUUACUCGUUAUCAAAUGAAUUGUUUUUUUUUUUUUCUUUUUAUCUUUCUUAAAAUUUGUUGUCCGAAUCUUUUUUAAUAUGAAAGUGCACACUACCAACUUGGGCUCAGCGUUCGAAAGAUUCCUACCUUUUCCAAUUUUUGGACAAAGUAGAAAUUUAUAUCCUGCCCUGUUACUAACAUUCCGUUGUCGUCCAGCGGUUAGGAUAUCUGGCUUUCACCCAGGAGACCCGGGUUCGAUUCCCGGCAACGGAAUUUUCCUUUUUGAGAACACAAACUAUUUUUGUAUGUGUAUAUAUUUUACGAUUAUUGGAGUUUUAGUUCCCCUUUUUCAUAUUAAUUUUAAAUUCACUGAGAACAGUAAAUUCAAGAAGUUAAUAAUACAAAUAAAAUAAUUAAUUUUAAUAAGAACAAAAGUUUGAUGACUUAAUUUUAACUAAACUAAAACUUCAAAGUUUAAUAUUUUGAUUAGAAAUUAAGCCUAAAAUUGAUAAAUAAUAAACUUAAUAGAUAAAAUCAAUAUAUUCAAUUGCUUUAUAUAUAUUUUUAGAGAAGAAAUAAAUGAAUUUAUUCACAUAGCGGAUCCAAUAUAUAAAAAUUAAUUGACUUUUUUUUAGGAUUUUUUAUUUUAUAUAUAUAUAUAUUUAUAUAUCAAAAUUAAUUCAUAAAAUUUAAUUUAUUUAUAUUUUUAAUUUUUUUUUAAAAAUAUAAUGCAUUGAUGUAGGAAAAAAAAUAAUUUUAGAUCUUCACGGUUCUUUGGGCGAUAAUUAAAUAAUUAACCCGCAUAUAAUUCAAUCCACCGACCCUUCCCACGCUUUCACGUAUAAAAUGUACUAUGGAUAAGAUCGAACAUUUUUUUUUAAAUUAAAAUAACCGAUGAGAGUUGGAGCGGAGCUUACUAGAAUAACCCUGCUCUUUCUUACCCCUGUUUAUGAUCAAGUCAACGAUGAUUUUGGAUUUAUCUCUUACGAGUGAAGAUCCUUAUUCAUCUCAUAAUACUAUAUAACAUUGUUUUUUAAAAAAUGUCAAAAAAAAAAAAAAAAAAAAUUUGCUCACACUUCUACAGUUUUUUUUUUUUUUUUUUUUUUAAACUUUGGAAUUCUCUCAAUGGCGAGGUUAGAUGAAUUUGCAUACACAAGAACAUCUACUUCUGUUUAAACAAUUAAAGGAAUACCCCUUUCAAUAUACCCACAAACGAAAAUAUGAAUAUGUAUUGCUAUACUUUUAUUAACAUAGGAAACAAGUUUAGCCAAUUAUCACUUAUCUCCACCUUCAUGUUUUUAAUAUUCUUUUUUUUUUUUUUUUUUGAGGAAAAUAAUAUUCUUAAUUAGGAUCCCAAUCAAAUCAAUUAACAUAAACAUCUACCAUGACUUAUUAUGUUAUUUCUUUUAUUUAUUUUUAUUUUUAUUUUUUAGAGGCUUUUUUUUUAUCUAAAACAUUUGUUUUAGAAGGUUAAAGAAUAUUAAUUCAUUUUAAUUUUGUUAUUAUUUCUUCUAAAUUCAGCAAUUAUUUUUUAUAUUUCUUAAAAUCCAUUUUAUAACUCAUAUUUUUCUGUUUUUUUAAUUUUAAAUAUAAUAAUUGAGAGAACCCAGAAAAAAAUAAUAUAAUCAAAUUUAUAGAGUGUUUUAUUAUCGGGGAAAUAAUUUUAAUUGCUUUUUAAUUAGUAUAUGAAAAUUUUAAAUAAGAAAUAAGAAAUGGGACAAAGGAAUUAUUAAAUAAAUUACCUUAAUAAUGAGUGUAUUGAAAACUUUUAUAAUAAGAUAAUUUAAUGAAAUGCUCUAAAAAUUGAAAUGAAAAGCGAAAAGAAAAGAAAAAUCUUACUCAUUAUUGCAAGAAGGAUAAAGGAGGAUUUAUCCAAUACAGAAGUAAAUUUCUAUAAAAUUAAAGGGCAAUAUUGCCAGUGAAAAUUUUAGUGCCUGAAACCAUAUAUAAUUACGUCAAAACUGCCAUCUCCUCUUCUCUUUCCUCUGCUUUCACAGAUUAGACGCUCCAAAUCAUUGACAAAACAAUGUUGGCAGUUUUUGACAAGUCGGUGGCUAAGUGUCCGGAUGCGCUGCGGAGCCCGCACUCUGGCCCUGCCUCCGCACUGAAAGAUGGGUUUUUGGCUAACCAUUUUGGGUCUGUAUAUCCUGGUUCAGUCACUGUCAAUCUUGGUUCUGCUGGUGUUCUUGCUUACUCUCUAGAAAAGCAAAGGCCCCUUCUGCCGAGGUAAAUAUUUUUUCCAUACUCAUUUCUUCUUUCGUUAUUUUCGCUGUUUAUCAUCUGUGUUGAUCUAAUCUUGAUGGUUCCAAGGAUAUGUUUAUGUUUGAUUCACGAGAAAAACAAAAAUUUGAUACAGAUGAUAAUUUAUGAUAUAUACUUUCUCAUGGUUCUUUAUAUAUUAGAUUUUUUUGAAAAAUAAAAAAAUUGAUGGAUCGUUUCCAAGAUCGUUUCCUUAUACUAACUGCAUGUGCAUUUGGAUGGGCGUUUAUAAUCUGGUGAUAUUUGUUUGCGGAAAUCUCAAGUCUUGUCGAUUCUUUCAGUAGAUCUUGAUGAUUUAAAUUUGGGAACUUGGUUUUUGUGAAUUCAUACGAAAGAAUCGCAGCGUAGCCGGAUUUGGGUUUCUGAUUUGGUUGAGGCUUGUACCUAGCAAAAAUUGUUUCUGAGAUCUUUCUUUAUUCUGUUGGUUUAUCUAAGGUUUUGUUUUUGGUUUAGUAUUGCAUAUGAUCUGAUUCUGGGGAUUCCUUUUGUUUUUUUUCUCUAAUUUCCUCCUGAAUAACAUAUUAUUUUAUUUAUGCUUUUUAACAGAGACGAAAGAUGACUAAUCUUUAUAUCAUAUCAGUGCUCGUCAUUUUUCUUGGAAGCAUUUGCAUGUUACGUAUAUUGGAGUAAUCCUAUUUGUAUACCAAAUAUCAUUUGAAUCUUGCUUCCGCAGAAUAGUCUAUAACUCCCAUGCAAAGAUAGAAUUUUUACAUUAUUUUAAUAUCUGCGUUUUGAUUGGUUUUUUGUAGCAAUUUUGUCUCUUGUCGUGGUAUAGAAGGUAAACGGUUUAUUUCUUUAUGUUUGAAUAUUAAAGAUGUUUUGGCGUGUGUUUCUCUUCUGGAAAUCCAAUUUUUGCAGGAAAAUAAGAAGUCCAUAUCAACUUUUAUUCAUUUCCCAAAUUUGUCUUUUGAAGAUUGCAUAGAAGUCGCAAAAAUUCUGAAAAGUACAUUCUUGGUUUCCCUUUCUCAUUUGUUCUUAACUUUGGUAUAUAUAUAAUUUUCUCUUGCUAGAUUAUUUGCUGUUGUAGACGACAUUUUCUGCUUGUUCCAAGGAAACAUUGAGAAUGUUGCAGUACUUAAGCAGCAAUAUGGCUUGAGCAAGACUGCAAAUGAAGUAAUCAUUGUUAUUGAAGCUUACAGAACCCUCAGAGAUCGAGGGCCUUAUCCUGCUGAUCAGGUUGUCAAAGAUAUUGAAGGGAAAUUUGCUUUCAUUUUAUAUGAUAGCACUUCAAAAGCCACAUUUAUAGCUGCUGUAAGUAGGUCUUUCGGUUUAGAAUUCUGCCCUUUGUUGUCAUGGAUGCCCCCUCAUGCAUUCUUCCACCACCCCCCCCCCCCCCCCCCCUCUCUGACUCUUCCAUNNNNNNNNNNNNNNNNNNNNNNNNNNNNNNNNNNNNNNNNNNNNNNNNNNNNNNNNNNNNNNNNNNNNNNNNNNNNNNNNNNNNNNNNNNNNNNNNNNNNNNNNNNNNNNNNNNNNNNNNNNNNNNNNNNNNNNNNNNNNNNNNNNNNNNNNNNNNNNNNNNNNNNCUGAUGCCCCCCCCACCAUCCUUCCCCCCCCCCCCCCCCCCCCCCCCUUGGAUUGAUCUGCUCCCCUAUAUUUUAUAUAUGAACAGUUGCUUGAAUUAAGCUUAACUCUUUUCUCCUUUUAUGCAGGAUGCUGAUGGAAGUGUACCCUUCUUCUGGGGAACCGAUUGUGAAGGUCAUCUUGUUCUUUCAGAUGAUGUUCAGAUUUUGAAGCAGGGCUGUGGGAAAUCAUUUGCACCAUUCCCUAAAGGUGAAAUUUUUUUGAAAUAAUAGUUCAAUUAUUUUCCAUGUGAAUGAUCUAUCAGAAUCACUUUUCAGUGCUUUUUCUAAAAGCUAUCCUAGCAUAAAGGAAAAAAAAAAAAUCUAAAAAGACUAAGGAAAACCCAUGAAUAGGACUAAAAUGUGCUUCUAUUGUGUCUAGAAUUAGUGUGAGAUGCUAGCUGGUAAGAAGGGUAUACUAUUUCCUUGAAUUGAAAUGUUCACCACAAUAUAUGCAUCAUAUUUUUCUUCAUGUAUUUAUAUUUUAAACUUUCUUCUCUGUUUACCACAUGAUCCCAUGAACUUUAGAUGGUCAUUUGCAAAUAUAGGAUACCGUGACAUCUCCAAGAAUUAGAUUGCUAGAUCACUUAAAUCUAUUGGUUUCUGUUGUUACCUCAGGAUGCUUCUUCACAACUUCUGGAGGCUUGAGGAGCUUUGAGCACCCGUUGAAUGAGUUGAAGCCAAUUCCAAGAGUUGAUAGUUCAGGUCAGGUUUGUGGUGCGAAUUUCAUGGUGGAUGAAGGGGUUAAGAAGGGAGGUGGCAUGCCAAGAGUUGGAAGUGCUUAUGACUGGUCCUCUAACUACUAAUGAGAAGUUCUUAUCAGCAGGCUCGUGUUAUUAACGAGCCCGAUUGGCUUUUACUAUAGCUUUUGCUGAUCUUACAUUCCCAUGUUUUAAGAUUUUGCUGCAUUAAUAUAUCCCAUGGUAAAUAUAUUAGCAUUCCCUAAUGAGACAGCAAUUUACGCUGCUGUAAAUGUUGCUUGCUACUAUCCAAUUAAGCCCAUACUUUGCAGGGUUAUAACAUAAAAUAAGAUUUACCGUUCAUACAGUAUCUCCGGUAAUGGUGGUUGUUUUGUAUUUGGAAAUUCAUCUUGGCUUGUUGGAGAGAGAGAGAGAGAGAGAGAGAGAUGUUGAAGUUGCAAAUUUACUCGUGCCCAACAACUAUUAAGAGUUAUGGAUUUUAGAACGACGCAUGCGCAUAUGCACAGCGUUGCCAUGAGUCAUCACCAGCCUUUAAUUCCGAGGCAUGGGGAGGUUUUUACAAAGUGAUGAAGACGCGAUAGCGUGGUUAGUAGGGAAUAGGAAUAGGGAUAGUAAUGUUGCCCAUAGAACGCCUCAGGUAUUCAUCCAUAAAUUCGAGGCGUUGAGCUUUUUGGAUACUCUCCACAGUUCCACUGACCCUAUUCAUGAGGAAGCUUGAUUUGAAGUGGCAAGUUAGUUUAUCCCCGAUUUGGUCGUGAGCGCGUAGAAGGCUCCAACGCAGACAAUGAUCCAUAACUAACGCAGGCAAAUAUCAGGAGAAGCUAUAACCAUUUGUCUGCUUCCAAGAUUUUUAAAGCAAGCUCAAAAUUUAUCAAGCAAGUGCAUAUCAAAACACAGCAUAGACGUAAAGCAAUUUUAUAUUAUAAAGCAUCCUAUACAGAGCCCAUUAAAGAACUUAGGAUAAAUGUAGAGCACGCGCAAGGGCAGCUAACCCUUGCUUUUCCUCUUUUUAACUUUUUAAAGCAACAAAUAUCUGUUCUUUUCUAACCUUAUACAUCCACUAGUAGAUAACUGGAAAUCAAACAGUUAUACUAUUACGCCUCUUGCUGUUCAGCGUAAGGCUAGGAGCACACACUUCCUCUAGUCCUUUGCAUCGGCAAUACCGCCUGGUGUUAUCUGAAAUACGUGUUUCUGUAAAGAAUAACUUACCGAUAACGAAAAAUUGCAAUUUUAUUGGGCCAUCUUGGUUUUAUUUCAUCCCAAGUGAUAGUUCGAGUUAGAAUAGGAGAUAAGCACUGGCCAUUUUGGUUUUAUUUCAUCCACGAUCUAAUCUUACUAUAAUUCAAUGAUUAUGUUGCUUUUACUAAUUUUUCAUGGAAAAAUUGAAUCAACCAACCAGAGCAUAAAGUGAAUAUAAUAACAGUAAGUUAAAGGAUAUUGCUUCAGCUUCUGGCAGAUUUGGGGCAUCAAACACCUUACAGACGCGUUGUUCACCUUUUCCUUUCCGGAACAUCAACCUGAUUGUGGCUGCAUGAGCAAGCACGUGACCUCCAGCUGGUUUUUUUGGAUCAGAUAUGAACACUCCGCCACCUGGGUCAGCUAUAACUGCAACCAAGAAUUGUAAAUUGUAUUUAACCAGUACCCUCUGAAGGGCAUAAAUUUAAGCCAUACUUGCAGAACUACAAGGUGAGCUUGUGGCAUAUAACAACAGUUUUUGCUAGAUAUAUAAACUUUACAGAUUAGUAAGAACAAUGGACUGAGAGAUUUUAAGGCAUGCUAUCUUCAGCUUUCCAUGCAUGAGAUUUACAGGACCAAGAGUACCUUGGUUAGUCAUAUAAACUGCAACGUUGAAUUCUUCAGCUAUCUUUGUCAAUCGGGAUAGCAUCUGUGCUAAUUUUUGCUGUAAAAGGCAACAGGCUCGUUAAUGGACAGAUAGGUUUUAUAUACGAGUUGACAUAAUCAUUAUUAAGAAGCUUGUUAUGUUACCUGGCGCUCUGCGAGUUCUCCUCUACCAGUGAAAUCCACUCGAAAGAGUGCAAUUACUGAAUCCACAAUCUGAAUUAUAUUCAAACGAAACAACAUCCAUAAACCGUCCUAAUACUGUUACACUAGGAUAACAUGUAGAUGUAUAGUUCAAAACUCACCAGAAGCCUGAAUGGCUCUUCAGACAUUUUGGCAGCCAAACCAAGAAGCAGGUUAUACUGAUGCUCAUAUGUAUAUGCACGAGCAUAGAUGAUCUUUCACAUCCACGGAAUAAAAAAGUGAGAAUGAGCUUCUUCACAGGUCAACUGUUGAUAUCACAACAACUUGAUACUUACAUUGUCUAGGACUGCCCCUGGGUCCAUGCCAAAUCUUUCAGCUAUUGGAACAAUCCUAUCAGGCCGGCUGCAAGUGCAUAUAGUUAAGAAAACAGAAGAGUGAACAGAUGUCAUAUGGAGUUGAUUUUAUGAAAAGGGAACAUAAGGCAUAUUGCCUCUCCAAACGCUUCGAAAAGGUAAAAUCAAGGAUACAAAGUUCCCUCGGUAUCGAUAUAAGCGACUUUUCCAUUCCCACCAUGCAUGUUAGAAGGAAGCUGCAAAGGCAAUUGAAAUGUUUAUUUUGAAAGACUUAAUGCAAACUUUUUGAGCAUAUAAUUAAUCAUUAAUUCACAAAUCAAGGCCCCUGCCAACAAAAUGAUACAUCGUUUUUACAUUCCUGAGGAAGGAUGGUUGAACCAUAAAGGCAAGGAGAAUUGUUGGAAUGCAACCUCAAAUUCAUGAAUAGAUAAAUCAUAGCAAGACUGUAAUACUCUGACUCGACCUUUUUGGUAAAAAGAUUUCAGUAUCACUAAUCCACUAGUAUAUGCCUAUUUAUCAAAAUCUCUUUUAGAUUCUUUCGUUCAUUUGAAGGAAGAAUAUACCAAAUUUUCUUCAGAGUAUAAUCAUGCAUCAAAGAACAGGGUAAGAGAGAAACCUGUGUGGAAACACAAAGGGUAUGGGCAAGCUGUGUUUUCCCAGAUCUGGAGUAAUAAAUAAGGGAAAAUUAUGCUACUUUUAUGAUUGAAAAUGGCAAUAAAGCUAUCAACAAAACGACGUAGAAAUGGAAUUCCUCACCGGAAUUCUCCAAAAGCUUCGGUAAUUGCUGAAGUUUCUAUACCACCUUUUUAAAUCAACACAAAAUAUUAGUUGCAAAUAAAUUUUAACAAACUACAUCAUGACAUUAACACCUACCAACAAAUACAGAGAAUCUAAGAGUACAAGACUACCUCCUAACAGUUCAUCAAGUGCUUGGCUUCCUGUUGUGAUGCGAAUCACAGACUUUCUCUGUUCAACGCAGAUAAAUAUUAGAUUUCAUGUUUGUCAAGAAAGAAGCCGCAAUGACUUUGAGACUUCCAGUGGAUAUGUCAAUAACCAAUGGGCUAAAUAAUUGACUCAUUCAAAAGAGCAAAACUCGGAUCUUAGACUUACUCUGAGUAGAGCAUCACUUCCAGUUAUAUAACCAAAAUUCUGAGAAAGGAAAGGAAAGGAAAGGUAAAAAGGAAUUGGUAGUGCGAAAGCCACAAAUAGGAAAUGGAGUUUAAGAAUUGAAUGUCAUUUUUAUUAUCAUACAACUUGAGCACUAACCACUAUUUUCUCUGCAGCUUCACAUAU